This 402-nucleotide long non-coding RNA is filed under the name Ananas comosus (pineapple). Its description in RNAcentral is "long non-coding RNA (ACOM_LNC030476)". Lineage: Eukaryota; Viridiplantae; Streptophyta; Magnoliopsida; Poales; Bromeliaceae. The record is from RNAcentral.
UGGUUUCACUAUCCUGGGGUCUCCUAGGUCUAUCUAAACCAUUUCCCGUUCUCUACUUUAUGCUCUGAUACCACUUUAUCUGUCACGCCCCGUGUCCCGCCUAUUUGAUCAGGUUCGGGCACGCCGACAGACCGCCGAACGGACAGAGUUUUUUCUGUACGUCUUAGGCGUCGCAAUCAAUACAAUGUACGAGGUUUCAACCAGGAACACAUUUCAAUCAAAGAUUGCAUAAGAAAGUAUCAAAAACAUAAAAUAACUAAUACUAUUACAAGCAUUCCCAAUACGUGCAUUUUACAUCCCAAUUCUCUUUUAUAUUCAACUUUCAAAUUACAAUCUAAUUAUUACAAAUUAUUACAACUUUGAUACAUCUUGUCCUUUUCAUUUCCUAUACCCCUAAGCUAU